Molecule: long non-coding RNA, 690 nt
Filed under: Musa acuminata (dwarf banana)
Lineage: Eukaryota; Viridiplantae; Streptophyta; Magnoliopsida; Zingiberales; Musaceae
Description: long non-coding RNA (MACU_LNC006243)
Source: RNAcentral
UGUUAUGUUCUACGAUAAGAUGCAUACACAACCAUGCAACAAAAACACUGUUAUGUUCUGAGAUUGUAUAGAAAAUAAUUUCUCAAUCACAACAUUUAAGCAAUAUACAAUCCAAAAAAUCAAGCAGCGUUUCAAGAUCCCUUGAUCGAUCAUGAAAAAGCAUCAGAACGAGAAAACCGGAAGAACGAAGCAGCGAUUCAAGAUUCNNNNNNNNNNNNNNNNNNNNGAUCGAUCAUGAAGAAGCAUCAGAACGAGAAAACCGGAAGAACAAAGCAGCGGUUCAAGAUCCUUGAUCGAUCAUAAAGAAGCAUGAGAAGGAGAAAACCAGAAGAACAAAGCAACGAUUCAAGAUCCUUCGUAGCAAAAGGAUCAUAGGCAAAAAGAAGUUCUAACCAUCAAGAACAACAGCGACGGGCACGAAAACAAGCAGGGUAAGCCGUCAAGACAGAGAGAGAGAGAGAGAGAGAGAAGGGGAAUCACGGCCCACCGUUACCGGACGAAGAAGCCGAGGGCGUUCCACUUCCCUGGAGUCCCCCUCGCCUCCCUGCAUUACCGGCAUCGGCGUCGUGGAAUAAAGAUAGCGUCAUCACGGACACAACUUUAAACGCAGCUUUUUCUGUUGGGAGGGCAGUUGGAACAACACGACCAAAGACCUCUGCUUCACACGUCCUUCGCAGCAGCAGGCAGUUG